Olea europaea var. sylvestris is the source of this 1832-nucleotide long non-coding RNA. RefSeq lists it as uncharacterized. The transcript has 2 exons. NCBI's taxonomy places the organism in Eukaryota, Viridiplantae, Streptophyta, Magnoliopsida, Lamiales, Oleaceae. The record is from RefSeq and is a predicted model, not a curated record.
UAAAAGAAGAGUACUACAGGACCGAUUUCUCAUUUCCUCCCAAACCUUGAAGAGUACUCUUGCCAGCACGCCAUCGCCAAUCGGAGCACCCAUCACCGGUUGGAGAGCCGGUAGUCACCUGACGAAGAAGAGGGGAAAAGUGGAAAAAAAGGAACUUAAUUUUCUCCUAUUAAUGAUUUUGUAAAGAAAUUAAUAAGGUAUUUUGAGAAUUUUGAGACACCCAAGAGAUCUUAAUUUCUUUUCCUUUCAAGUUCUCCAAAGACAGGUAAGAUCUUGUGAUUCUUUAUUAGCCACCUCCAUAUGAUCAUAUUUAUUCAUUAGGCUUCGCAGAAAUUUUUCAAUAACCUUUUAGGUUUUCAAAAUUUCUCUACUUGAUGCCAUAGAAUUUGAAAUGGAACUCUAGUUUACUGAAUCUCAGUUGCUUGAUAUAUUUGGAAAGGUGAAUCGUGUCUUUUUGUGUCUUAUUCUUUAGGAGAUUUGUAUGUGCUUUAGAUAAUUGAUUUUCAUUUUCUGGUUGUUUGUAUUCCUUCAACAAUAUUUCAUAAAUAAUGAGAUUCAAGACACAAUUCAUUAGAUUAAUUUAAUAAUAAAGAUUUCGCCAUUAAAACGAGUCACGAGAGAAAUGAGAUUAUUGUUUGACAUUAUUUAUCUUUUCUUGGCUCUGAUAGUAGUUAGUAGAAAAGAAGGCUUGGUAGAUAUCUUAUUAUUAUUACUAUUAUUAUUAUAAAUUGCCUUUGCAAAAUAAUAAAGAUUUUGGUAAAUCAAUGUGCAUGUUCUAUCUUUAAGAAGUCUCCUCCAAUUACUAAGUCAAGUAUUGGAAUUCUAUAAAACAUUUGACUAAACAAGUACAUGAUUAUUCUAGGAAAUUUAAUAGUCAAAAUUUGGUUUAUUAUUCCAACAUAUAUAUUAUGCUUGUUUUGUUUUGGAUUCACUCCAAAGCCUAGCAAAAAUUCAUAUUUGUAAUGUAGCUAUUUUAAUUAAUCUAGACUUGCCAAGGAGUCCCAGUCCCUUUUGAGUGUGGUGGAAAAAACAUUCACAAAACAAGAGCCAAGAGCUUGGGUUUUGGUGAAAAGAAACAAAGGGCAUCUGUUAUGGUUGAUGUGUGUCGGAAGUGUUGUGCUGUGAUUUUGUAUAAUUCCUUUUGAAAAAGUUAUAUGUUUUUUAUUCCCAUCGUAGAAUGCUCGGAAGGAACUCCGGAAUCUGUCAUAGUUGUAGAGCUAAGGAUCAUUUGUUUGCCGAAUGCAAAAAGAAACGCCCUUGCCCACGAUGUAAGUAUGGAUUUGAAAAAUGUUUUGUGGUAAAGAAGGAAAAUCACAAUAAGGGGAAACUAGUCCUUUGCUACAGCCGGAAUUGUGGAUUUUGGGAAUGGGUUGUGAAAGAAGACUCAAGCGGUCAAUGUAGUCGUGAUAGCGCGACAUUCCCUAACCCCGUGAUGAAUGACACUAAUGAAGAAAUGUCCCGCAUGUUCAAAUAUUGGGUAAGGAUAAGUGACGAAGAAGAGUUUCAGAUUUUGGUUAACGUGAGCAUCAAGAAGGAGAAAAUUGUUGCAAAUGUGGACGCUAAAGGGAAGCGGCCGACUUGACUUGAAGAUACUUAUCGAAGUGGCUAGCCUAAUUUUCUCAAUUAAAACUGAAUCAGCUUGUCCUUAUUAUUUGUGAAGGUUGAAAGUCUUGUAUGUGAUGAAUUAAGUAAAGUAGUUGAGCUUUGUGGUGCGAGGUUGUAUAUCAUGACAUCUUGGUAUCAAAACAAGCAUCUUUUGUAGGCAAACAUUUGUACUCUCGCGACUUACUUACAGUUUUUGUAUGGUAAUUAAUUUAUUUAAUACCUUUCCA